This 385-nucleotide ribosomal RNA is filed under the name Cryothecomonas sp. RNAcentral's name for it is "partial small subunit ribosomal RNA". It matches the Rfam family "Eukaryotic small subunit ribosomal RNA", at positions 587 to 975 of the family's 1831-position model. Lineage: Eukaryota; Cercozoa; Thecofilosea; Cryomonadida; Protaspidae. The record is from RNAcentral.
AGCUCCAAGAGCGUAUAUUAAAGUUGUUGCAGUUAAAAAGCUCGUAGUUGGAUUUCUGGUACAACGCGCCUGGCCCGCUUUUGUGAGUGCCGGUGCGCGUUUGCCAUCCUUCUAGAAAACGUUUCUACCCGGGUAACUGGGCUGGAUUCACGAUCUAGAUCUUUUACUUUGAAAAAAUUAGAGUGUUUAAAGCAGGCUUUUGCUGUGAAUACAUUAGCAUGGAAUAAUAAUCUAGGACUUCGGUUCUAUUUUGUUGGUUUCUAGUACUGAAGUAAUGAUUGAUAGGGAUAGUUGGGGGUGCUAGUAUUGGCCGGCCAGAGGUGAAAUUCUUGGAUUCGGUCAAGACUAACUUAUGCGAAAGCAUUCACCAAGGAUGUCUUCUUUA